RNAcentral lists this ribosomal RNA (492 nucleotides) under uncultured bacterium. RNAcentral describes it as "bacterial SSU rRNA". It matches the Rfam family "Bacterial small subunit ribosomal RNA", at positions 70 to 573 of the family's 1533-position model. The record is from RNAcentral.
GUGGAAGUAGACUUACAACAAUGGCUUUAGUGGCGGACUGGUGAGUAACGCGUAAGGAACCUGCCUUCUAGAGGGGAAUAACAAUGAGAAAUCAUUGCUAAUACCGCAUAUGCCGAGAGAAUCACAUGGUACAAUCGGGAAAAGAGUAAUCUGCUAGAAGAUGGCCUUGCGUCUGAUUAGAUAGUUGGUGGGGUAACGGCCUACCAAGUCGACGAUCAGUAGCCGGACUGAGAGGUUGAACGGCCACAUUGGGGCUGAGAUACGGCCCAGACUCCUACGGGAGGCAGCAGUCGGGAAUAUUGCGCAAUGGAGGAAACUCUGACGCAGUGACGCCGCGUAUAGGAAGAAGGUUUUCGGAUUGUAAACUAUUGUCGUUAGGGAAGAGAAAGGACAGUACCUAAGGAGGAAGCUCCGGCUAACUACGUGCCAGCAGCCGCGGUAAUACGUAGGGAGCGAGCGUUAUCCGGAAUUAUUGGGUGUAAAGGGUGCGUA